This 440-nucleotide ribosomal RNA is filed under the name uncultured bacterium. RNAcentral describes it as "partial 16S ribosomal RNA". It matches the Rfam family "Bacterial small subunit ribosomal RNA", at positions 338 to 795 of the family's 1533-position model. The record is from RNAcentral.
CCUACGGGCGGCAGCAGUGGGGAAUAUUGCACAAUGGGGGAAACCCUGAUGCAGCGACGCCGCGUGAGUGAAGAAGUAUCUCGGUACGUAAAGCUCUAUCAGCAGGGAAGAAAAUGACGGUACCUGACUAAGAAGCCCCGGCUAACUACGUGACAGCAGCCGCGGUAAUGAGUAGGGGGCAAGCGUUAUCCGGAGUGACUGGGUGUAAAGGGAGCGUAGACGGCAGCACAAGGCUGGAGGGAAAUCCCGGGGCUUAACCCCGGAACUGCUUUUGAAACUGUGCGGCGGGAGUGCAGGAGGGGUAAGCGGAAUUCGUAGUGUAGCGGUGAAAUGCGUAGAUAUUAGGAGGAACACCGGUGGCGAAGGCGGCUUACUGGACUGUAACUGACGUUGAGGCUCGAAAGCGUGGGGAGCGAACAGGAUUAGAUACCCUGGUAGUC